Molecule: ribosomal RNA, 425 nt
Filed under: uncultured bacterium
Lineage: Bacteria
Description: partial 16S ribosomal RNA
Rfam family: Bacterial small subunit ribosomal RNA
Source: RNAcentral
GUAGGGAAUCUUGCGCAAUGGGCGAAAGCCUGACGCAGCCAUGCCGCGUGAAUGAUGAAGGUCUUAGGAUUGUAAAAUUCUUUCACCGGGGACGAUAAUGACGGUACCCGGAGAAGAAGCCCCGGCUAACUUCGUGCCAGCAGCCGCGGUAAUGCGAAGGGGGCUAGCGUUGCUCGGAAUUACUGGGCGUAAAGGGCGCGUAGGCGGACAGUUUAGUCAGAGGUGAAAGCCCAGGGCUCAACCUUGGAAUUGCCUUUGAUACGGGCUGUCUUGAGUACGGGAGAGGUGAGUGGGACUCCGAGUGUAGAGGUGAAAUUCGUAGAUAUUCGGAAGAACACCAGUGGCGAAGGCGACUCACUGGCCCGUUACUGACGCUGAGGCGCGAAAGCGUGGGGAGCAAACAGGAUUAGAAACCCCAGUAGUCC